AGUGAACGCUGGCGGUAGGCCUAACACAUGCAAGUCGAACGGCAGCACAGGAGAGCUUGCUCUCUGGGUGGCGAGUGGAGGACGGGUGAGGAAUACAUCGGAAUCUACUCUGUCGUGGGGGAUAACGUCGGGAAACUUACGCUAAUACCGCAUACGACCUACGGGUGAAAGCAGGGGAACUUAGGGCCUGGCGCGAUUGAAUGAGCCGAUGUCGGAUUAGCUAGUUGGCGGGGUAAAGGCCCACCAAGGCGACGAUCCGUAGCUGGUCUGAGAGGAUGAUCAGCCACACUGGAACUGAGACACGGUCCAGACUCCUACGGGCGGCAGCAGUGGGGAAUAUUGGACAAUGGGCGCAAGCCUGAUCCAGCCAUACCGCGUGGGUGAAGAAGGCCUUCGGGUUGUAAAGCCCUUUUGUUGGGAAAGAAAUCCAGCUGGCUAAUACCCGGUUGGGAUGACGGUACCCAAAGAAUAAGCACCGGCUAACUUCGUGCCAGCAGCCGCAGUAA
This 506-nucleotide ribosomal RNA is filed under the name uncultured bacterium. RNAcentral's name for it is "partial 16S ribosomal RNA". It matches the Rfam family "Bacterial small subunit ribosomal RNA", at positions 29 to 523 of the family's 1533-position model. The record is from RNAcentral.